Molecule: ribosomal RNA, 454 nt
Filed under: uncultured bacterium
Lineage: Bacteria
Description: partial 16S ribosomal RNA
Rfam family: Bacterial small subunit ribosomal RNA
Source: RNAcentral
GAUGAACGCUGACAGAAUGCUUAACACAUGCAAGUCAACUUGAACUUCGGUUUGGGUGGCGGACGGGUGAGUAACGCGUAAAGAACUUGCCUCACAGCUAGGGACAACAUUUGGAAACGAAUGCUAAUACCUGAUAUUAUGAUUUUAGGGCAUCCUAGAAUUAUGAAAGCUAUAUGCGCUGUGAGAGAGCUUUGCGUCCCAUUAGCUAGUUGGAGAGGUAACGGCUUACCAAGGCGAUGAUGGGUAGCCGGCCUGAGAGGGUGAACGGCCACAAGGGGACUGAGACACGGCCCUUACUCCUACGGGAGGCAGCAGUGGGGAAUAUUGGACAAUGGACCAAGAGUCUGAUCCAGCAAUUCCGUGUGCACGAUGAAGUUUUUCGGAAUGUAAAGUGCUUUCAGUUGGGAAGAAAAAAAUGACGGUACCAACAGAAGAAGUGACGGCUAAAUACGUG